CUGGGUGCCGGCGGCUGGCUCAGGUGCAGGGCCAGGCCCAGGUGGAGGUGGGGGAUCGGAGGAGCGGAGGAGGAGGGUGCCGGCGCGGGCCGCCGGCGUCCGAAGCCCAGCUUCCCCCCGGGGUGCCGCGCGAGGCCGGGCGCCCAGGUGGGGCGGUAGCUGUCAAGGGGGCGGGAAUGGGGGUGUCCCGACCCUGCCCGGCCCAGCUCUGCCCGGCAGCCGGGCCGGAACAGCUGCGGACAGUCCCACAAGCUGUUUUCCUCGUGGCGACCAUUCAGCAAAACGCACGAUCCUUUCUCAAAGAUUUAAAUUUCGCGGAUGAAUUACCAUACACCGGUUGCUUAGCAACUAAAUUCAAGCAGGGCUGAGAAUAUGCAAGCUUUUUGUAUUCUCAUUAAUAAAAAUGCCACUCUGACACAGCAACCCGACUUUGGAUCACUGCAACUUCUGUAAAAGCCGUAGGAGAAUACAAACCGGUCCUGCCAUUUAAUUACAGAUCAGAAUGGCUUGAAACGCGAUGUUUUGUUCAUCUAUCUUCCUAAAAGCGAUGUAAAAAAUAACGGCUUUUCAAGAGCACUAGUAAAUUCUUCUUCUUUUUUUUAAUGGAGUUGUCUAUCGGGGUUACUGAUAAUUGUCAACUGAAACUUUUGGAAACAGGUUGAAAUUUCCCCCUUCGUCAUUAAUGCUCAAUCCUUCAGCCCACAGCCUCUGACCCUGCGCUCCGUUCACAGCCUAAUAAUUACAAUUACUGCCCUGAUUCUGGAACAGCUCGGGCCUCGGGAGCCCUGGAACUUAAAGGACAGUUGGCACAGCAAUCGACAAGGCCCGUGGCUGGAAAAAAACCUAAGGACUUGAGGACUUGUGGGAGUUUCGUGGGGAGGCUGAGAGGUCGCCUGAGCGGCUCAGGCUCCGGGCGUCCAGAGACAACUUCUUGGAGGGCACAGGGGAGAAAGGGCAAUCGCCCUCUGCUCCACGUUUGCGGAUUUUCCGUCCUGGGCCUGGCCUCCUCUGCCGGGAAUUUGGUCGCCGCCUCCCCGUGCGGACGAUGGAGUGGAGAGGGCUGAGCCCCGGACCUGCUGGCCGACUGUCUCUGGGCCCCACGCCCGAGGGCCCUGGAGGAAGAACGCAGGUGGAGCUGGAGCCACGGGUCUCCCAAGGGCUUUCAGCAUUACCAGAGCAACUGGAGAGAGAACACACCCCGCCUUGAGCCACUCAAUUCUGCAUCCAAGCCAAAUAGCCACCACCAUCAAUUACACUUUGCAUAACUUGACACGGCCAGAAAUGAAGACUCCGUUAUUUACCAGAAGUAGAAAUAAACUUCACUGAAAGAAAUAAAUGCAACUUUGACCAUGGGAUACCUACUGGCCCUCUGAAAACAUCACCUCUGUCUUCCCACCCCCUUUACUGGGGUGGAGUGCUGUAAAAAUCCAACGCAGCAGAAUUUUGAAAGAGCGUGAUCACCUGGAGCGGGUUUGGAGUCCUCAACUCCAAUCAUUAGUAAUAAAGUCUUUAAUAGUCAUAA
This is a long non-coding RNA of Camelus dromedarius (Arabian camel), 1522 nucleotides long. RefSeq lists it as uncharacterized. NCBI's taxonomy places the organism in Eukaryota, Metazoa, Chordata, Mammalia, Artiodactyla, Camelidae. The transcript is spliced from 2 exons. The record is from RefSeq and is a predicted model, not a curated record.